CAUAUACAUUUUGAUUUUAAAUUAAGAAAAAAUGUGUAUGUCACAAUAUAUAUUUAUAUAUUGUAUAUGAGAACCCUAAAACCAGAAGAAAUACAAAAAAUUCACUGUUAAUAACUCAUUCAUGAAUUGUCUCCCUUUAAAAAUCAAAUUGCCCCCUUGUGUGCAUGCGCCCCAUGUUGGGAACCACUGCUCUACACCAACAUUAAUAGCAAAAGAAAUCAGUGCAAAAGUGACAGUUUUGCAGGAAAUUCAAUAUAUCACUGACAGUUGGCACAAGUUCAACUGCAAGAUAAUUCAGAACUGUUUUGCCUACUAUGGCUUUAAGCAUCCAGACCUAGAGAAUGCUAAC
RNAcentral lists this long non-coding RNA (349 nucleotides) under Androctonus crassicauda. The record is from RNAcentral. Lineage: Eukaryota; Metazoa; Arthropoda; Arachnida; Scorpiones; Buthidae.